Molecule: ribosomal RNA, 1236 nt
Filed under: 'Parthenium hysterophorus' phytoplasma
Lineage: Bacteria; Bacillati; Mycoplasmatota; Mollicutes; Acholeplasmatales; Acholeplasmataceae
Description: bacterial SSU rRNA
Rfam family: Bacterial small subunit ribosomal RNA
Source: RNAcentral
GAAACGACUGCUAAGACUGGAUAGGAAGAUAAAAGGCAUCUUUUAUCUUUUUAAAGACCUAGUAAUAGGUAUGCUUUAGGAGGGGCUUGCGCCAUAUUAGUUAGUUGGUAGGGUAAUGGCCUACCAAGACGAUGAUGUGUAGCUGGACUGAGAGGUUGAACAGCCACAUUGGGACUGAGACACGGCCCAAACUCCUACGGGAGGCAGCAGUAGGGAAUUUUCGGCAAUGGAGGAAACUCUGACCGAGCAACGGCGCGUGAAUGACGAAGUACUUCGGUAUGUAAAGUUCUUUUAUCAAGGAAGAAAAGCAAAUGGCGAACCAUUUGUUUGCCGGUACUUGAUGAAUAAGCCCCGGCUAAUUAUGUGCCAGCAGCCGCGGUAAGACAUAAGGGGCAAGUGUUAUCCGGAAUUAUUGGGCGUAAAGGGUGCGUAGGCGGUCUAGUAAGUCAGUGGUGUAAUGGCAACGCUUAACGUUGUCCGGCUAUUGAAACUGCUAAACUUGAGUUAGAUAGAGGCGAGUGGAAUUCCAUGUGUAGCGGUAAAAUGCGUAAAUAUAUGGAGGAACACCAGAGGCGUAGGCGGCUCGCUGGGUCUUAACUGACGCUGAGGCACGAAAGCGUGGGGAGCAAACAGGAUUAGAUACCCUGGUAGUCCACGCCGUAAACGAUGAGUACUAAGUGUCGGGUUAAACCGGUACUGAAGUUAACACAUUAAGUACUCCGCCUGAGUAGUACGUACGCAAGUAUGAAACUUAAAGGAAUUGACGGGACUCCGCACAAGCGGUGGAUCAUGUUGUUUAAUUCGAAGAUACCCGAAAAACCUUACCAGGUCUUGACAUGUUUUUGCAAAAUGAUAGUAAUAUCGUGGAGGUUACCAGAAACACAGGUGGUGCAUGGUUGUCGUCAGCUCGUGUCGUGAGAUGUUAGGUUAAGUCCUAAAACGAGCGAAACCCUUAUCGUUAGUUGCCAGCACGUUAUGGUGGGGACUUUAACGAGACUGCCAAUGAUAAAUUGGAGGAAGGUGAGGAUCACGUCAAAUCAGCAUGCCCCUUAUGACCUGGGCUACAAACGUGAUACAAUGGCUGUUACAAAGGGUAGCUGAAACGCAAGUUCUUGGCCAAUCCCCAAAAACAGUCCCAGUCCGGAUUGAAGUCUGCAACUCGACUUCAUGAAGUUGGAAUCGCUAGUAAUCGCGAAUCAGCAUGUCGCGGUGAAUACGUUCUCGGGGUUUGUACAC